RNAcentral lists this long non-coding RNA (736 nucleotides) under Scophthalmus maximus (turbot). RNAcentral's name for it is "lncRNA (ENSSMAG00000031308.1)". The record is from RNAcentral. Lineage: Eukaryota; Metazoa; Chordata; Actinopteri; Pleuronectiformes; Scophthalmidae.
UGUAUAUUAUAAGAUACAAACAUGUGGUGUUUAAAGUCAUUCAUUACACUGUGUUCAAUUUUAAUGUUAAAGCCAUAGAAGAUAGAGUGGACCUGAUCAACAGUGUUGAGGAACCAGUAGAUGGCGUCGAACUCCACUGCAAAUUUCCAGAUGGAAGAAUUUCCAAUAGAUUUUAUUUAUCCCAGCCAUUCCAGCAUCUUGUUGCUUUUGUUAGGACUGACAAGAUGGCAUCUGAGGUAUUCACUCUCCAGCGCGCAAUGUCCCCUACUGCCAUCUACAACAACUGUGCAGGAGCCAUCGUUGAUCAGGGUAUCGAUGGGCCCUGCACAUUGUAUGUGCUAGUCAGGGAAUUGCUGGCUCCUCCUUCCAGUCUCUCUCCCCCAAGUUUUUCACCUCCUCAUCGCCCAUCAACUCCUCCCAGUCCUUCACCUCCUCCCAGUCCUUCACCUCCUCCCAGUCCAUCACCUCCUCCCAGUCCAUCACCUGCUUGUAGUCUGGAUGUUGUCAACAUUCUCCAAGGUCUUAGGGAGACACUCAAACUCCUCCCCAACAGAGCUAAUCAAAUUAAUGCUCUGCGUGGGGAGGAGUUUGAUUGCGCGGCCCAAGCCUUCAGCAGAGCUAAUUUUGACCCAGAGUCAAAAUUAGAUGUCGUGUUCGUAGACGAUGAUGGUAUUGGAGAGGGGGCUGUGGAUGAAAGUGGUCCAACAAGGGAGUUCUGCCGCCUUCUCACCAGGCA